This 340-nucleotide long non-coding RNA is filed under the name Melopsittacus undulatus (budgerigar). RNAcentral's name for it is "lncRNA (ENSMUNG00000013852.2)". Lineage: Eukaryota; Metazoa; Chordata; Aves; Psittaciformes; Psittaculidae. The record is from RNAcentral.
UUGUGUUUUCUCCAGGCUAGAUCUCUUCCCUGACCUGGCUGAUGGUGUGGGCUCAGAAACAGUUGUGAUUGACCAGAGGGGGAACUGGGGAUGGUGACUUUUGGUACCAGCCAUUUUAGUGAAGGAGCCAAAAGAAAGAGAAGCCUGGAAAAACUAAAGCUGCAAGAACAGGAGCACGUUUGGAAAAGGGGGGAAAAGAGACGGGGUUGAAAGAAAAACACGUGGUGAUGAAAAGAAGUUCGAGAGAGGAAAAAGAAAGCUAAGCUCAAGAGGAGAGAAGAGAGGCAGAUAGAUGGAGAUAAGAAACAUCCCCCAAAGCAGCAGAAGGUACCAGCUGAAG